This 450-nucleotide ribosomal RNA is filed under the name uncultured bacterium. RNAcentral's name for it is "partial 16S ribosomal RNA". It matches the Rfam family "Bacterial small subunit ribosomal RNA", at positions 354 to 796 of the family's 1533-position model. The record is from RNAcentral.
GUCGAGAAUAAUUCACAAUGGGGGAAACCCUGAUGGUGCAACGCCGCGUGGAGGAUGAAGGUCUUCGGAUUGUAAACUCCUGUCAUCUGGGAGUAAGACCUGACGGUGAAUAGCCGGCAGGGUUGAUAGUACCAGAAGAGGAAGGGACGGCUAACUUCGUGCCAGCAGCCGCGGUAAUACGAAGGUCCCAAGCGUUGUUCGGAAUCACUGGGCGUAAAGGGUGCGUAGGCGGCGUGGUAAGUCAGAUGUGAAAUCCCGGGGCUCAACCUCGGAACUGCAGCCGAUACUGCCAUGCUUGAGGGCUGGAGAGGUAACUGGAAUUCUCGGUGUAGCAGUGAAAUGCGUGGAUAUCGAGAGGAACACUCGUGGCGAAGGCGAGUUACUGGACAGCAUCUGACGCUGAGGCACGAAGGCCAGGGGAGCGAAAGGGAUUAGAUACCCGGGUAGUCC